AGCUCCAAUAGCGUAUAUUAAAGUUGUUGCAGUUAAAAAGCUCGUAGUUGGAUUUCGGGAUGGGCCAGUUGGUCGGCCGCAAGGUCUGUUACUGACUGGUUUGUUCUUCUUCGCAAAGACUGCGUGUGCUCUUUACUGAGUGUGCGUAGGAUUUACGACGUUUACUUUGAAAAAAUUAGAGUGUUCAAAGCAGGCUAUCGCUUGAAUACAUGAGCAUGGAAUAAUGGAAUAGGACUUUGGUUCUAUUUUGUUGGUUUCUAGGGCCGAAGUAAUGAUUAAGAGGGACAAUUGGGGGCAUCCGUAUUUCGUUGUCAGAGGUGAAAUUCUUGGAUUUACGAAAGACGAACAACUGCGAAAGUACUUGCCAAGAGUGUUUUCAUUAAUCAAGAACGAAAGUAGG
Molecule: ribosomal RNA, 400 nt
Filed under: phytoplankton environmental sample
Lineage: Eukaryota
Description: partial small subunit ribosomal RNA
Rfam family: Eukaryotic small subunit ribosomal RNA
Source: RNAcentral